RNAcentral lists this microRNA precursor (94 nucleotides) under Chinchilla lanigera (long-tailed chinchilla). RNAcentral describes it as "microRNA 101-2 (ENSCLAG00000020826.1)". The stretch from base 12 to 86 matches the Rfam family "mir-101 microRNA precursor family". From Rfam's summary of the family: The hairpin precursors (represented here) are predicted based on base pairing and cross-species conservation -- their extents are not known. In this case the mature sequence is excised from the 3' arm of the hairpin. The record is from RNAcentral. Lineage: Eukaryota; Metazoa; Chordata; Mammalia; Rodentia; Chinchillidae.
UGAGACUGAACUGUCCUUUUUCGGUUAUCAUGGUACCGAUGCUGUAUGUCUGAAAGGUACAGUACUGUGAUAACUGAAGAAUGGUGGUGCCAUC